GAUGAACGCUGGCGGCGUGCCUAAUACAUGCAAGUCGAGCGAACAGAUAAGGAGCUUGCUCCUUUGAAGUUAGCGGCGGACGGGUGAGUAACACGUGGGUAACCUACCUAUAAGACUGGGAUAACUUCGGGAAACCGGAGCUAAUACCGGAUAACAUUUAGAACCGCAUGGUUCUAAAGUGAAAGAUGGUUUUGCUAUCACUUAUAGAUGGACCCGCGCCGUAUUAGCUAGUUGGUAAGGUAACGACUUACCAAGGCGACGAUACGUAGCCGACCUGAGAGGGUGAUCGGCCACACUGGAACUGAGACACGGUCCAGACUCCUACGGGAGGCAGCAGUAGGGAAUCUUCCGCAAUGGGCGAAAGCCUGACGGAGCAACGCCGCGUGAGUGAUGAAGGGUUUCGGCUCGUAAAACUCUGUUAUUAGGGAAGAACAAAUGUGUAAGUAACUGUGCACAUCUUGACGGUACCUAAUCAGAAAGCCACGGCUAACUACGUGCCAGCAGCCGCCGCAG
RNAcentral lists this ribosomal RNA (513 nucleotides) under uncultured bacterium. RNAcentral's name for it is "partial 16S ribosomal RNA". It matches the Rfam family "Bacterial small subunit ribosomal RNA", at positions 28 to 523 of the family's 1533-position model. The record is from RNAcentral.